This 218-nucleotide unclassified non-coding RNA is filed under the name Hevea brasiliensis (rubber tree). The record is from RNAcentral. Lineage: Eukaryota; Viridiplantae; Streptophyta; Magnoliopsida; Malpighiales; Euphorbiaceae.
AAGACCGGCUCUUCCGACGAGGAAACACUCCUGUUCUUUCCUGGCAGCUGAGGUUCCGAAUUGCAGCUGAAAUAGGAACUGGAUUGAUGUUCCUACACCAAACAAAACCAGAACCACUGGUGCAUCGCGAUCUGAAGCCUGCCAACAUCUUGCUUGACCGCAACUUUGUGAGCAAGAUUAGUGACGUUGGGUUGGCGAGGCUAGUGCCACCAUCGGUG